GACGAACGCUGGCGGCGUGCUUAACACAUGCAAGUCGAACGGAAAGGCCCUGCUUUUGUGGGGUGCUCGAGUGGCGAACGGGUUAGUAACACGUGAGUAACCUGCCCUUGACUUUGGUAUAACUUCAGGAAACUGGGGCUAAUACCGGAUAGGAGCUCCUGCUGCAUGGUUGGGGUUGGAAAGUUUCGGCGGUUGGGGAUGGACUCGCGGCUUAUCAGCUUGUUGGUGGGGUAGUGGCUUACCAAGGCUUUGACGGGUAGCCGGCCUGAGAGGGUGACCGGCCACAUUGGGACUGAGAUACGGCCCAGACUCCUACGGGAGGCAGCAGUGGGGAAUAUUGCACAAUGGGCGGAAGCCUGAUGCAGCAACGCCGCGUGCGGGAUGACGGCCUUCGGGUUGUAAACCGCUUUCGCCUGUGACGAAGCGUGAGUGACGGUAAUGGGUAAAGAAGCACCGGCUAACUACGUG
RNAcentral lists this ribosomal RNA (468 nucleotides) under uncultured bacterium. RNAcentral describes it as "partial 16S ribosomal RNA". It matches the Rfam family "Bacterial small subunit ribosomal RNA", at positions 28 to 507 of the family's 1533-position model. The record is from RNAcentral.